Molecule: ribosomal RNA, 464 nt
Filed under: uncultured bacterium
Lineage: Bacteria
Description: bacterial SSU rRNA
Rfam family: Bacterial small subunit ribosomal RNA
Source: RNAcentral
CCGGGACUUGUCCCGGGGCAAGCCGCGAACGGGUGAGUAACACGUGGGUAACCCACCCGGUUGACAGGGACAACCCGAGGAAACUCGGGCUAAUACCUGAUGUGCUCCAUCCUCAUCAGGGGAUGGAUGAAAGGAAGCUUCGGCCUCCGCAACCGGACGGGCCCGCGGCCCAUUAGCUUGUUGGUGAGGUAACGGCUCACCAAGGCUUCGAUGGGUAGCUGGUCUGAGAGGACGAUCAGCCACACUGGGACUGAGACACGGCCCAGACUCCUACGGGAGGCAGCAGUGGGGAAUCUUGCGCAAUGCGCGAAAGCGUGACGCAGCAACGCCGCGUGAGGGAAGAAGGCCUUCGGGUUGUAAACCUCUUUCAGUUGGGACGAAGGUCCACCGGUUAAUAGCCGGUUGGACUGACGGUACCUUCACAAGAAGCACCGGCUAACUACGUGCCAGCAGCCGCGGUAAUA